GACGAACGCUGGCGGCGUGCCUAACACAUGCAAGUCGAGCGAGUGAAUCUCCUUCGGGAGUGAAGCUAGCGGCGGACGGGUGAGUAACACGUGGGCAACCUGCCUCAUAGAGGGGAAUAGCCUUUCGAAAGGAAGAUUAAUACCGCAUAAGAUUGUAGCUUCGCAUGAAGUAGCAAUUCAAGGAGCAAUCCGCUAUGAGAUGGGCCCGCGGCGCAUUAGCUAGUUGGUGAGGUAACGGCUCACCAAGGCGACGAUGCGUAGCCGACCUGAGAGGGUGAUCGGCCACAUUGGGACUGAGACACGGCCCAGACUCCUACGGGAGGCAGCAGUGGGGAAUAUUGCACAAUGGGGGAAAGCCUGACGGAGCGACGCCGCGUGCACGAAGAAGGCCUUCGGGUUGUAAAGUGCUUUUGCUAGGGAACAAUAUUAUGAGCGUACCUAGAGAAUAAGGGGUUGCUAACUCUGUGCCAGCAGCCGCCGUAA
Molecule: ribosomal RNA, 483 nt
Filed under: uncultured bacterium
Lineage: Bacteria
Description: partial 16S ribosomal RNA
Rfam family: Bacterial small subunit ribosomal RNA
Source: RNAcentral